Non-coding RNA from Zonotrichia albicollis (white-throated sparrow), 1329 nucleotides. Lineage: Eukaryota; Metazoa; Chordata; Aves; Passeriformes; Passerellidae. The record is from RefSeq and is a predicted model, not a curated record.
AGUGCAGCCGCCCAAGAAAGGAUUUUUUGUGACUCAGCCAGAUGUUCUCCUGCCUCCCGCCAAGACCCUGAGAUGGAGCUGAGUUUGCAUUCCAGUUUAUUGUAACAGAGGUUUAUCUGAAGUUUUCUCAGCUAUCUGAGGCACAGAGCCCUGGAACCAAGACGGCGUGAAGACUGAAAGUGUAAGAAGAUGUGGAGGGAAACAGAGAAUCUGACAGGAGCAUCGAACACACAGCACCCACGACUUUUUUGUUUCUCUAAACUGGCAGUAAAUGUAGGGUACUCAGAAAAUAUGUCUCCCUUAGAGUCCCACAAAAACAUUCUGGGUGAAAUCUGAAUUAAGUGCUAUGAGUCUUGAUAAAUUGGAGAAGAGCCCAAGAGAAAUUCAUCAUCCUGAGAUACAAAAGGAUUUAUUGGUUCAUGAAGAGUAAGAGGGAUCGGUGAAUUUUAACUCUGGAAUCCUCUAUGCUAAUGAUAGUCAGCUUACAGAUGAUUAAAUGUUCAGUAAUGGUGAGUUUUUCACCUUCUCCUUCAUUGUUUUGCUCAUCUGAAUUAAAAAAAAGGCAAGAUUAAAGAAAAAGAAAUAGUUUUAUUAUUUUUUACCCUGUUAUGUCUGUUUCCUCAGUAUUUGCUGGAGCUGUGCUUACCCAAGCUUUGGGUAAAACAAGCUUUGGGUUCCUUCUGUCUCACUAGGAGUUGCCCAAUUCAGUUGCAUCUGGUGAAAUUCACCCUGAGACCUUACAGAACUAGCUCAAACUAUGUGAGAGCCAUUUGCAGGUCUCUCCAGACACCUGGAGAAUGGGUGAUACUUCUGAGGAUCUGGCAAGUGUAGUUAUCCAAAAAGGUACAAAGACUAAAAAAAUCAUAAGAAGCAAAUAGGACUUCAGAGAAAACAAACUGGAGAGAACAAAAGGUGAUAUUGUUAUCCUUAUCCUGUAUUAGAAACAUCCACUGUGCUUUGAUGCUGGUAGCUGCCAGGGGCUUGUUUGGUCUGUUUAGGCAGGUGUAGGUGUUCACUUGUAGGUUUUUUCUCUGGACAAGUCAAUUCAAACUUUGCUAAGCUUACAUUUGAAAAUUACUCUCUAGAACAGUCCAGCAUGACAUGCUGGAUGUCGUCCCCCAGAGGGACCCAAAGCUGCCAGAAAUUUCACAGGGAGGGGUGGGUGUAGAAUACUAAAACCUGUCAAGUUUUUCAUUUUUAUAGGUAUUGGCAAAGAAAAGGAAUUUAUCUCUAAAUUCAUUUGGAAAGAAACCUUCUCUCUAUCCACUCAUUUGUAUACAGGAAUGUAGGAAACUCUGACUAGAGAUGGGUAAUAGUUUUGAAAAUAAA